This is a long non-coding RNA of Camelina sativa (false flax), 1159 nucleotides long. RefSeq lists it as uncharacterized. The record is from RefSeq and is a predicted model, not a curated record. NCBI's taxonomy places the organism in Eukaryota, Viridiplantae, Streptophyta, Magnoliopsida, Brassicales, Brassicaceae.
UUUGUAUCAACUAAUGAGAUAAAACAUACAAAAUUUGAAUGUUCACCUACUUCUCUGAUCUAGCUGAUGGUAGUAACUGUUGUCCUGACUAUGGAGGUCAUGGAGAGUUGAUUUUAGGCGAAUUCCCAUCCUUAUGGUAGUGGUGAAGAUGUAGUCUUGAAGUUUACCAUGCUACGGUUGUUUGUUCAAAAUCAUGUGUUUAUUCCAUUCCCAACUUAUAAUAGGCAUAGUUAUGUUGUAUAUCAUUAUAUUUCAAAAAAAAAAAAUGAAAUCUAACAAUUGUGACAUGCACAGUAACAAUUGUUAAGAGUACUACCACUUUCGGGAAUUCAUUUUCAUGCCUGUCAUCGAUGUGAAAGAGAAAGACAUUUUUACCAUCGCUUGUUUUGCAGAGAGAAAAGAGGCAAGACUUAGACGCAGACAUACAUAUAUUAGGAGGGGUUUUUUUUUUAAACAAUUAAAAAAAACUCUUCAUAUUGACGUCGGCGAUAAUGGAUCGACAAUCUACUCUCAAAACCUUCCUCCAAAAGAUUCUCCAACCACGUGCACCGUCUGUUCUGCCUGACGAACAGCGUAAGGUCCUUAUUUCUGGAGUUCUCUACACCAAAUCUAGUAGCGACAUACCGCCAAGUAAACCUUCCCGGUGGACCCAUCAUGUAAAGUUUACGCAAUUGUCCCUCUAUGGAUUUUGUCUAUCGAUAGCAAAAAAUAAUGGUCCGUCGUGAAUCGACUUUCAGUGGACCAGAUCCGGUAGGGUUUGAACAAAUAUGUCUAUUAUUAACGAACCAUUUGUUCGUCGAGUAUAUCUCUUGUAAGCCCGAUGGACCAUAUCCAAAGUCCACCCAAAUCUCUUGUCAAUCAGAUGGACCAAAUCCACAUCCAACCAAGCUAUCUUUUGGAGCAGACAGACAAUAUCAACCCAGGUAAUGUCCACAGAGAUGAUUUUGUCUGUCCAAAAUCUUUUACUGCUCAGAAAUUGUUUGUUAUUUUGUAAAGGCUUUUGUAGUUCCUUUUGUGCAAUCUACUUCUUUUUUUAUUAUCACUCUUCUUGUACUUUUGUUAAUAUUUGUCUAUCCAUCAUGUUAUGAACAUAUUGUCUACCCUAGUUGUUUCUUCACUUGGUUGUCUAAUGGACAGUUUUAUAUAUAGGAUUCAUGUC